ACCCUUAGAAACUGUCCGUUGUGUUUUGUUGAACCUGGUACAUUUUUUUUCUUGAAUAUAUGUGAUUCGUUAUUGUGAGUUGUUACAGUUGGCUCGUGUGUACCUAACUGAGUCCAGGAGCUAGAAAAAAAUCAGCCAACUUUAGUAGUACUGAAAUACGCGGCACGUUCAUCGUUUUUGCUAAAAAAAGCAUGUUCACUGUUUACAUUAUUGGCCUGGUGGGUGCUAUGGUCACAAACUCACAGUAGACUAACAAAUACAGCAGGCG
Molecule: long non-coding RNA, 268 nt
Filed under: Hordeum vulgare
Lineage: Eukaryota; Viridiplantae; Streptophyta; Magnoliopsida; Poales; Poaceae
Description: long non-coding RNA (HVUL_LNC013378)
Source: RNAcentral